GCAGAGAGACCCAAGAAGUCUUUUGGGGACAGGAGUGAACUCUGGAAAGCUGUUGCUUCUGUGAUAACAAGAGACUGAGCUAGCCUGUGUGGCCUUUCCCUCUUCUCGCCCCAUAGUCCUCCUGCCUUGCAUACCUAAGUGGUGCUUAGAACCUGGAAAGUGAGAGAAAGGAGAUGUGCAGGGACAUGGCUCCAGCUCUGAUAGGGUAGCGCUCUUUGAUCUGACUCUCGAUGCCUGCUGAUCUCCAAACUUCCUGUUAAAUGAGAAAUUCCUCUAGGUUUCAGCCACUCAAAUGUGGUUUUCAAUGACCUGUGGCUAAACCCAGCAUGAAGCAAUGCCAUGUACAUGGAACAGCAAGUGAUGAGUCCUAAGGUCAACUGCGGACUUUGGGUGAUGAACAUGUGUCAGUGUGGGUUCAUCAGUGGUGACAAAUGCAUCACUGUGCUGGGUGCCAUUGGUCACAGCGGAGGCCAUGUGCCUGUGGGGGCAGGGAGAUUGGGGAAAAUCGCUACUUCCUCUCAGUUUGGUUUCGAACCUAAAACUGCUUAAAAAAGAAAAUUAGUCUUCUUUUUAAAAGAGAAAAGAACUGUGUCUGAAAAAGUUUGAAGUUUGAUAACUCACUGAAUGCCACUUUCUCUAUGAAAGCCCAGAGGCUGUAAAUUCUGGGGCCUGGCUUUCCUAACUGGAACAACAGUUGCCUCUGUAAUCCUCUCUCUGGCCCUCCCUCCAAAAAGGAGUUUUUUUAUAAACAUGGUCUUCAAUGGCCAACUUUUCAAAAUCAAGCUUUUAAUUAGGGCUCCAAAGUAAAGUUGGUUCUUGACAUGGAGUGGCUGUUCUCAAUUCUCUGUGCCCUGUUAUUCCCAUAAAUUAUAGAAACAGCAUGGAAUUUAAAACAGCCAUGCGAACUUAACUGAUUCAUUAAAUCAAAAAUUUAAUGGGUACCUAUUAAGUUCCAGGCUUUGAGAAGAUAAAACACUUGGCAAUCACAGUCUAGGGAAGAAGAUAGACUCGGAAAUAAUUAAUUUCUUUUUCUUUUUUAGGGCCACCCCUCCUGGGAACCUCCAUCUGCCACGGGAGUGGCCCAAGAAAUGGCAAAAAGCCAAAAAAAAAAAAGAGAGUCAGGCAGGGUUUGAAACAUGGCAGACGACGUGGACCAGCAACAAACUCCCAACAUUGCAGAAGAGCCCCUGAAUCUCAUCAGGCUCAGCCUGGAUGAGCAAAUCUAUGUGAAAAUGAGAAACGACAGAGAGCUUCGAGGUAGGUGACAUGCUUAUGAUCAGUACUUAAAUAUAAUAUUGGGAGAUGUGGAAGAAACUGUGACAGCUGUGGAAAUUGAUGAAGAAAUGUAUGAAGAACAAUAUAAAUCAACAAAAUGGAAUAUUCCACUGCUCUUUGUCUGGGGAGAUGGUGUCGUGCUAGUUACCCUGCCCUCGAGAGUUGCCUGGAACAAAGAAUUUAUCCUGUGUGGAAACGGGAGAUGGCAUAUGAUUGCCUCCUUAAAUGUAGAAGAUACCCAAAAGAGAAAUCUGCAUACAUUUUGAUAUUAAGAAAUCACCAAGAAUUCUUCCACUCCUGAAAUACGUAGAUUUGCAGAUAACUCAGAAAGUCUUAAGCUAAAUGGCGUUUGUUUGUUUGUUUGUUUGUUUUCUUCAACUAAUGGGAUCACCAAGAUGCAGCACUCCUUUUCAGGAGUUGAUUUGCUCCAUUGUUUUUUCAGACAAUUUCUGUUGUUGUUGUUUUUCUUUAAAUUAAAUUUGAUGUUUCCUUUUUU
This 1771-nucleotide long non-coding RNA is filed under the name Sus scrofa (pig). Its description in RNAcentral is "lncRNA (ENSSSCG00040027094.1, ENSSSCG00060051495.1)". The record is from RNAcentral. Lineage: Eukaryota; Metazoa; Chordata; Mammalia; Artiodactyla; Suidae.